RNAcentral lists this ribosomal RNA (253 nucleotides) under uncultured bacterium. RNAcentral's name for it is "partial 16S ribosomal RNA". It matches the Rfam family "Bacterial small subunit ribosomal RNA", at positions 524 to 776 of the family's 1533-position model. The record is from RNAcentral.
UACAGGGGGUGCAAACGUUGCUCGGAAUCAUUGGGCGUAAAGCGCACGUAGGCGGUUCGUUAUGUCGGAUGUGAAAGCCCUUGGCUUAACCGAGGAAGUGCAUCCGAAACUGGCGAGCUAGAGUACGAAAGAGGAUCGCGGAAUUCCCGGUGUAGAGGUGAAAUUCGUAGAUAUCGGGAGGAACACCUGUGGCGAAAGCGGCGCACUGGACCACAACUGACGCUGAGGCGCGAAAGCUAGGGGAGCAAACAGG